This 309-nucleotide ribosomal RNA is filed under the name uncultured bacterium. RNAcentral's name for it is "partial 16S ribosomal RNA". It matches the Rfam family "Bacterial small subunit ribosomal RNA", at positions 504 to 808 of the family's 1533-position model. The record is from RNAcentral.
AGAGACAGCAGUAGCCGCGGUAAAACGUAUGUCACAAGCGUUAUCCGGAUUUAUUGGGCGUAAAGCGCGUCUAGGCGGUUAAUUAAGUCUGAUGUGAAAAUGCGGAGCUCAACUCCGUAUUGCGUUGGAAACUGGUUGACCAGAGUACUGGAGAGGUAAGCGGAACUACAAGUGUAGAGGUGAAAUUCGUAGAUAUUUGUAGGAAUGCCGAUGGGGAAGCCAGCUUACUGGACAGAUACUGACGCUAAAGCGCGAAAGCGUGGGUAGCAAACAGGAUUAGAUACCCCAGUAGUCCCUGUCUCUUAUACA